RNAcentral lists this ribosomal RNA (826 nucleotides) under Allelochaeta biseptata. RNAcentral describes it as "partial 28S ribosomal RNA". It matches the Rfam family "Eukaryotic large subunit ribosomal RNA", at positions 69 to 922 of the family's 3401-position model. The record is from RNAcentral. Lineage: Eukaryota; Fungi; Ascomycota; Sordariomycetes; Amphisphaeriales; Sporocadaceae.
CAGGGAUUGCCCUAGUAACGGCGAGUGAAGCGGCAACAGCUCAAAUUUGAAAUCUGGCCCUCGGGUCCGAAUUGUAAUUUGUAGAGGAUGUUUUUGGUGCGGUAUCUUCCGAGUUCCUUGGAACAGGACGCCUUAGAGGGUGAGAGCCCCGUACGGUUGAAUGCCUAGCCUUUGUAAAACUCCUUCGACGAGUCGAGUAGUUUGGGAAUGCUGCUCUAAAUGGGAGGUAAAUUUCUUCUAAAGCUAAAUACCGGCCAGAGACCGAUAGCGCACAAGUAGAGUGAUCGAAAGAUGAAAAGCACUUUGAAAAGAGGGUUAAAUAGCACGUGAAAUUGUUGAAAGGGAAGGAUUCAUGACCAGACUUUUUCUAGGCGAAUCAUCCGGUGUUCUCACCGGUGCACUUCGUUUAGUUUAGGCCAGCAUCGAUUUUCGGGGUGGGAUAAAAGCUUUAGGAAUGUGGCUCCCUCGGGAGUGUUAUAGCCUAUUGUAUAAUACCGCCCUGGGGAUCGAGGUACGCGCUUCUGCAAGGAUGCUGGCGUAAUGGUUAUCAAUCACCCGUCUUGAAACACGGACCAAGGAGUCGAACAUUUGUGCAAGUGUUUGGGUGUUAAACCCUCACGCGUAAUGAAAGUGAACGGAGGUGAGAGCCCUUACGGGUGCAUCAUCGACCGAUCCUGAUGUCUUCGGAUGGAUUUGAGUAAGAGCAUAACUGUUCGGACCCGAAAGAUGGUGAACUAUGCGUGGAUAGGGUGAAGCCAGAGGAAACUCUGGUGGAGGCUCGCAGCGGUUCUGACGUGCAAAUCGAUCGUCAAAUCUGCGCAUGGGG